This 503-nucleotide ribosomal RNA is filed under the name uncultured bacterium. Its description in RNAcentral is "partial 16S ribosomal RNA". It matches the Rfam family "Bacterial small subunit ribosomal RNA", at positions 30 to 523 of the family's 1533-position model. The record is from RNAcentral.
AUUGAACGCUGGCGGCAGGCUUAACACAUGCAAGUCGAGCGGGGUGAUGGUGCUUGCACUAUCACUUAGCGGCGGACGGGUGAGUAAUGCUUAGGAAUCUGCCUAUUAGUGGGGGACAACAUCUCGAAAGGGAUGCUAAUACCGCAUACGUCCUACGGGAGAAAGCAGGGGAUCACUUGUGACCUUGCGCUAAUAGAUGAGCCUAAGUCGGAUUAGCUAGUUGGUGGGGUAAAGGCCUACCAAGGCGACGAUCUGUAGCGGGUCUGAGAGGAUGAUACGCGACACUGUGGGUGAGACUCGGAGCAGACUGCUACGGGGGGCAGCAGUGGGGAAGAUUGGACAAUGGGGGAGACCCUUAUCCAGCCAUGCCGCGUGUGUGAAGAAGGCCUUAUGGUUGUAAAGCACUGUAAGCGAGGAGGAGGCUCUUGUGGUUAAUACCCAAGAUGAGUGGACGUUACUCGCAGAAUAAGCACCGGCUAACUCUGUGCCAGCAGCCGCAGUAA